This 70-nucleotide transfer RNA is filed under the name Parribacus antarcticus. Its description in RNAcentral is "tRNA-Leu". The record is from RNAcentral. Lineage: Eukaryota; Metazoa; Arthropoda; Malacostraca; Decapoda; Scyllaridae.
UUCUAAAAUGACAGAAAGAUGUGUAGGAUUUAAGCUCCUAUUAGGAAGAAACUUUUCUUCUUUUAGAAUC